RNAcentral lists this long non-coding RNA (6352 nucleotides) under Medicago truncatula (barrel medic). Its description in RNAcentral is "long non-coding RNA (MTRU_LNC005199)". The record is from RNAcentral. Lineage: Eukaryota; Viridiplantae; Streptophyta; Magnoliopsida; Fabales; Fabaceae.
UCAUAUGCAGGCUAUCAUCAAGACAACAAGAUUAAGGAAUAGUGUCAACAUGUUUAAUCAUGAGAAUAAAUUGUAUAAUUAUUAUCUCACCUAUGUUAUGGUGGCGUUUCUAAAAGUUUGUAGAAUUAUUGUUAUGUUUAAAUUGGGUUGUAAGACUUUGAUAUUAUGAUAUCAAGUUUGGGGUUAAUAACAUGGUCUUGACUUAUUUUGUUGGGUAUAGAAUAAUUGUAAGGCUCUAAGAAGCCGAAAUAUUUUAUUUUAAAUUAUGAUGUCGUGUUAUUAUUAGUGGUGUGGAUGUGAUAUUUUAUAAAAUAUCAAAUCUAUUUAUUUUACGAAAACAAUUAUUAUUAGUUUUAAAUGUCUUUUAUUUGGUUUUUUCUACUCUCAAUUUAAAAACUUAAAUAUUUUUUAGAUAAUUUCUAUAAGGGAGUUGCUAACUUACACCCACCUAAAAAUACUAAGGUGCAAGUUAGCAAGUUACGCCCACCUAAAAUUAUUAAGGUGCAAGUUAGCAACCUACAUCCACUUGAUUAUUUACACUCAUUUUGAUAAAUUUUAACAAAUAUUUUACACCAACCUCACUAACUUACACCCACUUUCAUAAUUCCAAAUAAUGUUUUUGUCUUGAUUUUUUUUAAUGUUUUUAAAGCAUAUAGAUUUAUAUGUAUUUUGUUUCCUUGAAACUGUUUUUUUUUUACUAUUCAAUCUGCUGAUCCUUUUUCAUGCAUAAAAAUAUUUUUUUCCUAUUAAAUCUAUUGACCUCCUUCUUUUUCUUAUUAAAAUGAACAAUUUUUCUAAAGGCAAUUAUGUUUUUUUUUUUUAAUGAAAAGGCAAUCAGGCUUGUUCUCUUAAGCAAAUCUUUUGUUUAAAAAAAAAAGAAGUUGUUCUUAAUGUUAUAAUUGUAUGAGGGAAGCGAGUAGAUCUGUUCUUAUAAACAAAAAUGAACAAUAUUGUUAAAUUGACACAACUGCCCUUUAACUUCAAAUGACUUAUAAUAAUGGAGAUUGGUUGUUUUGUAAAAAAUAAGUUGGUGUAGCUUGCUAACUUGCACCUUAGUGUUUUUAGGUGGGUGUAAGUUAGCAACCCCCUUUCUAUAAUACUUAUUUUAUAAUUUAGGAUUUUAUGCAUUAUAUAUAAUAUAUGUUGGAAGAUUAUCAUGUUUAGUUACUUGGCCUAGCGGUAAAUGCUUCAUUACCCUGCAAUGCGUCUUGGGUUCAACACCCUCUACUCCCGUUGGUAAAAUGGACACUUCUAAACCAUUUUGUUGUUGCAUUUAUUUUGUCACAAGUUAGCUUUAUAAGUUGUUUGGGCUCCAGUGGCAAGGAGCUCCUUCAAGGACGUACCCAGGGAAUAUCCAGUUCGAUUUCCAGGGGGAACAACGCUUGGCCAGUGUGCAUGCCUCUACACACGAGCCGGAUUAGUCGUCCAUCUUUGGUGGGUCAGAAACCUGUGCAAAAGCCAAAUAUAUAUAUAUAUAUAUAUAUAUAUAUAUACUUUCUUCAAAGUUUUGUCUCACCUGUAUCGAAAGUCUGGGUCUGCCUCUGGGUAGUGCAUACACUAUUUUGUUUAAUAUUUAACUGUGUGCAUAACGACUCCCAAUAUUUUUGUGGAAAACUUAUUGUUUCGUUUCCCCAUUCAGAAACUUUGAUUGCGUGGAAAUAUUGAGUUAGGAAAGAUCGCUUCAACUCAUCCUACAUUCAUAUGGCAUUAGGAGGAGGCAUAGGAAAAAUCUAAAACCAAGCUCCAAGGGAAAAGGGGAAAAGUCUAGCCUCAAGUAAUCAUUAGUCACUCCAUCUAUUUUUAUAGUAUCACAACAUUUCGAGAAAAAUUUAUAGAUGAAAAUUUUGAUCAUCCAUUUGAAAACCAGAGAAUAGACAUUCUUUUUGCAAAAAUAUCCUUAAAUUAUGUUUUAUUUAAAAAUGUGCCACCAUAAUAAAAUAAAGGUUAAACUGCACUUUUCGAUCCCUAAGUUUUAAAAUGUUGCGAUUUUGGCCUCUAUUAAAAAAAAUUACAAAUUAGAAAUGUUGAAUUUUGAAAUGUUGAAUGUAAAUAGAAAUGUUGACUGUAAAUAGAAAUAGAAAUGUUGACUGUAAAUAAAAAUCACAAAUUACACGAACCAGGAGAAAUGUUGAAUUUUGAAAAUAAAUGAUCAAAUAAAUUCAAAACUAUUAUGAAUCGAUUCAUUUUUCAUUAGGAUGACGAUAAAUCAAUUAAUUCGUUUUUGAACUUGUGAAUCUAUUAACUAAAGGAGUGAAUUAAUUAAUACAACAUUUUUUCGCUACUUUUCAACUUUCAUUUUUUCUGAAAUCCUCCAAUGAUAAAUACAUGUUCCCACAAAUUUUCCAUUCAUUGAAAACACAUUCUCUAUACACUAUCUCAUACUAAAACACUCUCAUUAAAAGAAAAAGGCUAAACUGAAUAUUUGGCCCCUUAAUUUAUUUGUUGUUUUCAUAUUGAUCACAUAACUAAUUAACGUUACAUUUUUGUCCCUCAAGUUAGUCUCUGCCAAUGGUUGUCAUUUCGGAAAAAAAAUCAAACGGUUAAUAUUAAACAAAUUAAUGAGGUCUUUGACAGAGGAUAACUUGGUUUCCACUAAUACAAACAUUUUUGUGAUAAUAUUGGUUUCCCUCUCUCUAUUAUGAAAUAAUAAUAAUAAUAAUAAUAAUAAUAAUAAUGAAAAGUUGGUAAACGACAAUGAACUCUAAUUACAAGUAAAAUAUUUUUUUGAGAUUUACUCUAUGAGCUAAAGGGGCAAAUAUGAUUCAUCAAUGUACUUUAGGGACAUUUAAAAAUUAUUCUAACUUUAAAGGAUUUCUUGCAACAACAUAAUUAAAAUAAACUAUUUAAUUGAUGUAAACAUAACAAGAGGAUUUUUACUAUAUUUGUAAAGAAAAGAGGUUUUUUUACUAUAUAUAGUGAUCAAACCAAUUUCUAUUUGUUACAUGCAAAGGUGAAAAAAUGGUUGAAACUCUCAGGUUGUUUUAUAUUAUGAUUCUCUUUGUUUCCCUAUAUCUUGUUGUAGUUGAUGGAGUAAGUAAGUUAGCGCAAAGUUGUAGUGAGGACUUUGAGUGUUAUAUAAAAAAUCCGCAUGCUCCUUUUGGACAACUGAGGUGUUUUGAAGGUUAUUGCCAACGUUUGGACAAGCCUACAUAGUUAAGGUUAUUUUUUUCUCUAUUAUGUAUAUGAUUUUCAUUUAGUUUCUCUUCAUAAUGUUGUUUCUCUUACAUUUGUAUAUAUUUCUCUAACCUUGCAAUUUAAUUAAUAGCCUAUAAAAGAUAAGCAUGUUAAAUAUAUUAUUAAAUUUUUAUCUUUGUUUUCUUGGGAAUGAAGUAGAGAUGUUUUAUGGAUAAUAUGACCUAGGUUCUUGAUAUAUAAUCUAAUAAAAUUCAAAUUGAUAUAAUGACAAGUGAGAAAAGUAAAUUGUUGAAUUUUAUAUUUAAAGGUGUUAUCUUGAGGAUAUUUUGAUAAAUUUACCAACUAAUCACCUAAUAAUACCGUCAUUGUGAGAAUGUGAGAUGCCCUAACAUCCAAAGUUGAAACCUAAGUAAAUAACCUAUAUGUCAGUUGUAUUUGGCCGUUGACAAAGUUAAAAUUAAUGAUGAUUUCAUUUUAUAGAGCAUACGAAAAAUAAAAGAGGAAAUACAAACAUAUUGUACUAUUUGACCAGAUAAAGAAAGAUAAAAUAUGUCAUGCUAAAUGUAAAUUAACGAAAGAAACAACUCAAAAAUCAAUUAAUUGAAGAUCUGAUAUGUGAUAUUUUGUAGCAUUUGUAUAUUAAUUGAUCAUCAUGUAUAUAGUUGAGCUUUGAUCCUAACAUGAGUAAUAUAGUCAUUAUUAGUAUUAUUAUUAUUAUUAUCAUAAUUUAUUUAGUUUGUUUUUGUAACAUUUCUAUACUAAUUCCCAUAAAAAAAAAAUCUAUAAAUCAUAAUGUAUUUAGAGUAGAUUUUCUUCACAUACAAACUAAAAAGUUUUAAAGUCUUUAUCAUUUUCAUUUAGGCACAAUACCAUUGUUUUUGAAAUAUACCAAUUUAUAAGUUUGUACAUGUUGCAUAUGUAGUUUAGAGAAUUCAUUAGACAUAUUAAUUUUUUAAAAGAAAUUAAUGUAAAAUUAAUCUUAAUUGUAGGCAAGAAACCUCAUCAUUUUAGAUGUGUAAAAGUACAUAUGUCCCAAACUUUAAAAAAAAAAAUAUGGUCGCUUCAGCGAUAUACCUACUUACACAGAUAAGAAUGAUAAAUUCAACACUUUAAAUUGUUGAUAUAUAUAAGGUAUAUAAUGAUAACAUAUAGAGGUUAGGUUGAGAGAAUAUAAGACCUACUAAGAAAUCCCAAAUAAUUUUCAAUAGAAUCCUUAUGUAGCUCACGUGACGUCCUGGAAUCCCUAAUUAAAAGUGAGAACGCGAUUUGGUCAUUAAAGUGACUACGGAAAGAUGGAAUGAAUUUGGAAACAACAAAUUUAUAUAUUAUAUUUAACUUAACAAUACCUUUCCAAAAAAAAAAUAUCAUUGUUAGGCUCCAAGAUCUAAACCCUAUCUCAUAUCGAGAUGUCAGGAGCACCUCGAUCAUAAUUAUAUUUAUGUGGAUAGGAGCAUUUGGGUAAAACCAAAAAAAUAUAGAGAGGCAUAAAGGUGAGAAAAACACAAAAAAGGUAGGUUGAAGUGUGUUGAAUUUUUAUGAAAAAUAUUUUCUAAAUUAAAAACAAAUCAACAUGAUCAGAGUUUAUAGUAAAAAUUGAUGUUUGUUUACAUUUUUGAGUCAAAUAGUGGUAAACUAAAAUAAGCACAAAGUAAUUCUAAACACUUAAAAAAUUCUAGGAUGACAGUUUGUAAGAAUUUUUUUAAGUGUUUUUGCACUAGAAAUUUUGUCAGAGUUUUGGCACAAUUGAAAGCACUUAAUUGUUUCUCUUUCUUCAAACGCUCAAUGUAAUUUUAUAAGAGAUUUGAAUAGAGCCAUUGUUUGAAGAUAUUUCCAGCACAUCAAGAGCUAUCUUCAUAAUUAAAAUCUUUUCCUCUGAGGGAUAAUUUCGUUGAACACUACUUUAGAAUUUCUUUGCUUCUUUAAGAAUGAUAUGUUGCAUCCACUUUGUCUUAUAAGAGCUUUAUCCGCUUCUACAACGUGUCUUCAUUUAACUCAACAUGACAAAACAUACUACUAAACAUGGAUAAUGACAUUUCUUCAAAAUAAGACAAGACUGGUCAGCUGUUCUUCAGAGCGCUGAGCGUUGACUUUAUCCUUCAGAUUUUCGUCUUCAUACCAAAGUUUGUCUUACUAACUUGAUCCAUAUUUGAUCAGAGCUUUGGAUUUUUAUUUACCAACUUCAAAUCAGAUCUUUGUCAUCAAAACUUUAUCUUGGGUACCAAAUAUGUCUACCUUGUAGAACCAAGAUGGAAUUAUUUUCUUCAGAAUUUAGUGUUUUCAGAGUCAAAAUAUUGACUUCAGAGUCAGAAUGUAAUUCUAUGUUCCUGCAUACUACAACAAAAUUUAGGGUAUCCAAUUGUUCUUUUAUACAUUGUCAGCAUCAAAACCUUAGAGACAUUAUUCUAAAACUUAUUUUGGUUCAACAAGGCAGAGAGACAUUGUGAGAAUUUAUAAAAAGAGAGAGAAAAACUAAUUGAAUGUUGAAUGGCUAUUGGGAUUUAUUACCUCGUGAUGUUAUGGUGUAUCGAUAAAUCUUGGUAAUGCAGACUAGUCUCUUAAUAAAAUCAUAGUAGUGAAAGUGUUUUGCACUAAAAUUCAUUGAGAGGGAUGUUAUUCUUAUAUGAUAGUCGAUUUCCUCCUAUGCUACUUUCUUGAGCUUGAGUUAUUUGUAAGACAUGUAUAAGGAGUAUAGGUGCAUGAAUAUUGCAUUUGAUGUAUAUAUCUUGUCAUAUCUUGUAUAGUUAUAUGUCCACCUUAGAUGUUUUUGUGUUUUGUAUGUAUCUUUUUAUGUUUGUUUCUAAUUGAGUGACUUGGAACUUAUAUCACCCCAAUGUUUUCUAACUAUUUAUCUUGUAUAAAUUAUAUGCAGGCUAUAAUCAAGAUAAGAUUGAGGAAUAAUAUCGAAGUGUUUAUUCAUGAGAAUAAAUUGGAUAAUUAUUAUCUCACAUAUGUUAUGGUGUUCCUGAAAGUUUAGAAUUAUUGUUUAUGAUUAAAGUGGGUUAUAAGACUUUGAUAUUAUGAUAUCAAGUUUGGGGUUAAUAAUAUGGUUUUGACUUAUUUUGUUGGAUAUAGAACAAAUAUUAAAUGUGAUUUUAUUAUAAGAAUAAUCGUAAGGUUUUAAGAAAUUGAUAUAUUUUAUUUUAAAUUAUGAUGUUCUGUUAUUAUUAGUGGUGUAGAUGUGAUAUCUUAUACAGUAUAAAAAUUUAUUUAUUUUACG